RNAcentral lists this ribosomal RNA (255 nucleotides) under uncultured bacterium. Its description in RNAcentral is "partial 16S ribosomal RNA". It matches the Rfam family "Bacterial small subunit ribosomal RNA", at positions 524 to 777 of the family's 1533-position model. The record is from RNAcentral.
UACGGGGGGGCGAAGCGUUGUUCGGAUUCAUUGGGCGUAAAGGGUGCGUAGGUGGCGCCGUAAGUCGGGUGUGAAAUUUCGGAGCUUAACUCCGAAACUGCAUUCGAUACUGCGGUGCUUGAGGACUGGAGAGGAGACUGGAAUUCAUGGUGUAGCAGUGAAAUGCGUAGAGAUCAUGAGGAAGACCAGUGGCGAAGGCGGGUCUCUGGACAGUUCCUGACACUGAGGCACGAAGGCCAGGGGGAGCAAACGGGG